AUUGAACGCUGGCGGCAGGCCUAACACAUGCAAGUCGAGCGGACGAAGGGAGCUUGCUCCUGGAUUCAGCGGCGGACGGGUGAGUAAUGCCUAGGAAUCUGCCUGGUAGUGGGGGGUAACGUCCGGAAACGGGCGCUAAUACCGCAUACGUCCUGAGGGAGAAAGUGGGGGAUCUUCGGACCUCACGCUAUCAGAUGAGCCUAGGUCGGAUUAGCUAGUUGGUGGGGUAAAGGCCUACCAAGGCGACGAUCCGUAACUGGUCUGAGAGGAUGAUCAGUCACACUGGAAAUGAGACACGGUCCAGAAUCCUAAGGGAGGCAGCAGUGGGGAAUAUUGGACAAUGGGCGAAAGCCUGAUCCAGCCAUGCCGCGUGUGUGAAGAAGGUCUUCGGAUUGUAAAGCACUUUAAGUUGGGAGGAAGGGCAGUAAGUUAAUACCUUGCUGUUUUGACGUUACCAACAGAAUAAGCACCGGCUAACUUCGUG
RNAcentral lists this ribosomal RNA (484 nucleotides) under uncultured bacterium. RNAcentral's name for it is "partial 16S ribosomal RNA". It matches the Rfam family "Bacterial small subunit ribosomal RNA", at positions 30 to 507 of the family's 1533-position model. The record is from RNAcentral.